Molecule: ribosomal RNA, 82 nt
Filed under: Primula chionantha subsp. sinopurpurea
Lineage: Eukaryota; Viridiplantae; Streptophyta; Magnoliopsida; Ericales; Primulaceae
Description: 5.8S ribosomal RNA
Source: RNAcentral
CAAGGAAAUUCAACAAAGAGAUUCACUCUUCUUUCUCCCGUUCGCGGGAUGUUAGGAGUGGUGGCGUCUUGCAUAUUAACAA